GGUAUACCAAUCUUUGAUACAACUACGCAAUGGUUAUACGAUAAAUGAAAAUAUAAAAUGCAGAAUAAGAAAUAUAAAUAAAACCUUUAUUCUUCUAUAAUGUAAUAAUGUAAAUUGUUUAAAAAAAUUACUCAAUCAUGACUUUAUUAGGCAAAUCUUUGUUACUACUAAUGAAACAGAUGACUACUUCUGUUAACAAAUUGUAUAAGAGACCAUUUACAGUAUGCAUAGAGGGCAAUAUAGGAAGUGGUAAGACAACAUUCUUAAGUCAUUUUAAACAAUUUGACAAUACAACUGUUUUGCAAGAACCAGUAGAACUUUGGCGAAAUGUUGGUGGAACAAAUUUAUUGGAAUUAAUGUACACAAAUCCUAGACGCUAUAGUUUCUUAUUCCAAUCCUAUGUACAAUUAACAAUGCUGCAACUUCAUACUUACGAAUCUGGAAUGCCUUAUAAAAUUAUGGAAAGAUCAGUAUUUAGCUCGAGGUGCUUUGUAGAAACUAUGAAACGUUCUAAAUUAAUACAAGAUGUGGAAAUAAUGGUCUUAGAAGAUUGGUAUGACUGGUGUAUACAGAAUGCUAAUAUAGUAACGGAUUUAAUAAUUUAUUUGAGGACAUCGCCGGAUGUUGUAUAUGAGAGAAUGAAAAGAAGAGCUAGGAAAGAAGAAAAUAGUGUAUCAUUAGAAUAUUUACAGCAAGUUCAUAAUAUUCAUGAUGAAUGGCUUUGUCAUCAGACAUUAUUUAGUGUAUCAGCACCAGUUUUAAUAAUAGAUGGAGAUAAAAGUUUACAAGAAAUGGUCACAGAAUUUGAAAAUUGCAAAGACUUAAUUUUUGGUAAAAAAGGAGAAAGAAAAAAUUAGAAAAGAAGGAAAAAUAUGUUACAAAUGUAUGUAUGUGUUACUUGAAAAUAUUUCUUGUAUUUCUUAUUUAUAUUACUUCUUUGAAUUACUUAUAUAUAUAUUAAUUGUACAUUAGUCGCAUAUAUUUUCUACUUAUGUAUAUACUAGAAAUAUAAUAUAAUCAUUUUAAGUAUACCUGUAUAGAGAGAGAGAGAAAGGAAAAGAGAUAAAGCUAAUCGUUUUAUAAUGAUCAUAUAAUAUGACAUAAUUGUACAUUUAAUAUACAUAUUAAAUAAUUACAUUUAAGAAAAAAAUGGAUUUCUGAACACUAAGCAGUGAAAGAUUAUACAUAGUUGCUAAUGCAAAAUUGCAGUUAUCUUAAGCAAAGCAGCAAUCGGCGGAUGAUAAGCCACGCUUUCGUGCGAAAAUGGAUAUCCUAAGAAUAAGAUAUUUGUACCUGGAAAAUAUAUAUCUACAUAUAAAUAUAUAUCUACGGUUUUCCUUGCCCAUGGAACGCCCACUUAUGCUGCUUUAUAGUGAUAUUUGCAUUAAUUGCAUGUUGUUCGAUGAUAACUACAUGCAUAAUUAAGAUUAACGUUAUUGUAAGAUUAAAAGAUUAUAUUAUAGGAUUGUAUUACAAUAAAUAUUAUAUUAUAUUCAUUAGAAUUUAUUUAUUAAAACGACUCUUUAAUACAAUAUACAUUACAGAUAGAAACAACAGUUAACUUUUUACUCUAGUUAUUAUAAUUAAUAUAAGUUGGAUACAAUUAAAAAUAAUUUUCGUUUCUGACUAAUAAAUAUGAUAAUUACUUGUGGAAUAUAUUCGAUUAAAA
Bombus pascuorum is the source of this 1669-nucleotide RNA transcript. It is a transcript of the gene named deoxynucleoside kinase, with no coding region annotated. The record is from RefSeq and is a predicted model, not a curated record. Lineage: Eukaryota; Metazoa; Arthropoda; Insecta; Hymenoptera; Apidae. The transcript is spliced from 5 exons.